Larimichthys crocea (large yellow croaker) is the source of this 2397-nucleotide RNA transcript. RefSeq lists it as uncharacterized. NCBI's taxonomy places the organism in Eukaryota, Metazoa, Chordata, Actinopteri, Sciaenidae. The transcript is spliced from 2 exons. The record is from RefSeq and is a predicted model, not a curated record.
GUUUGGAGAAACUUUAUUUGAAGUGUACUUUGAGUUUUUAGUGUCACUUUUAUGAAGAGUGCGGGACUAAUGACCUGUAGGCACUAUAGCCAGCCACAAGGGGGCUCACUUUGACUAAUCUGUCAUGUUCGCGGGUGUAGGAUCUUCUACAGCCGGUACACUCUACUGUCGGCGAUGGUCGCUCUGCAAACAUGUCCAUGAAUGAAUCGGCGAGAAUAUCGGCAGAGCAAAUACAAAAUCUUUCCACAGCGACAGCAACGCCACAUGGCCACCUCGGCUCCCACCAGCUACAAAACACAUAUGGGCCAGCCACCACCUCCACUGGGACGUCAUACCGCUCGCUAUACUUUCAUAUUUACUUUCAUGUAACCUAGCUGGCUGGCUUAUUGACAAAAAAUGUUGAUGAACCAGCUGGUAAUCGAUCAAUUGUAUAGAGACCCCAUGAUGGAUUGAUGAUGCUGUCAGUUAGUUGGUUUGCAUCUACAGUUUGCAUUCACUAUGAACUAAAAACAUAUUGCUCUCUUGUAAUGCACAGGUGUCUGUGUGUUUUCAUUGGUUUCAGGUUCCCCUUCCAUCAGUUCCUCAAAGGCCUGCGACACACUCACAUUUUGUGAGAAAAAACAAAGCCUGCAAACACUAUACAAGAGAUGUUGUGUGCUUGCCUUUUUCUUCAGCAUCAACAUUCCGCAUUCCCAGGUGAGACUCAAGAGCAAAUUUGGCACAAGAUGGACUUAUUGGGAAGAUCUCCUUUACAUCUGACUGGUCUGAAGCACAACUUAGAGAAGAAAUGACUUUCAUUUUCAGAAGAACGUCUGCAUUGUCUAUGGGCUAGUGAUUCCAGUUUGAGUAUUUGAGUACAGUCAAGGGAUGCAAAAGACUAAUGAAACCAAACGUCUCGAGCUGUUUUCUGUGGGGUGGAAAAGAAGUUGCCUCAAUUAGUUCAGCCACCUGUCUCUAUAUAAUGGCAUUAAUACACAAACCUGUACCCAGUUGGAAAUAAGGAAAACUGAACUUCAGGCUGAGACUGAGAGGGCAGUGAGACUCGUUCGAGAGGAUAGCGGCCACUUUACAAUGGCCACCUGAAAUAUGGACGCUUCUGCUUCAGUGUAAAAUGCAUGGUAAAGCUCAGGAUGCUAUGGGCGCACUCCCUGUCAAAGAUAGCUUAGAUUAUGAAACUGUCAAUACGGCUAUCUUACGAGCAUAUGAACUUGUGCCUGAAGCAUACCGACAGAAGUUUCAAGGUCACAAGAAAACUCCUGCUCAGACAUAUGUUGAGUUCGCCGUGAGAAGGGAACUCUGUUUGAUAAAUGGUGUGCCACGUGUAAAGUUAAUGAUUUCAAUACGUUGAGAGAGCUGAUCCUGUUAGAGGACUUCAAGAAGUGUUUGUCUGAGCGUAUUGUUGUGUAUCUGAAUGAACAGAAAGUGGGUACACUGUCUGCUGCUGCUGUGCUGGCUGAUGAGUAUGUGUUAACCCAUGAAUCUGCUUUUUCUCCAGUCUCUGCUGUCUCAUGUCCCUCCUCUCCUCACAGAUCCCCUAAUCCACAUGGGCUGAAAGAGGAAAGGGAAUGUUAUUACUGUCACCAGGUUGGCCAUGUCAUUGCAAAUUGCGUGACCAUCAAACGCAGAGAGCAGUCCUCACGCUCUGCUCAAGCAAAAGGGGUAGGAGUGAUUAAAGCAGAUCGUGGUGUGAACACUGACUCAUCUGAUCAGGAAAUUAAUGACUGUUUUAAGCCGUUUGUGUUUGAUGCCUUUGUGUCACUGACUGGUGAGUCCACUGAUAAACACCCCAUACAGGCUUUGAGAGAUACGGCGUGCUCCCAGUCUGUUAUUUUGGCGUCAGCUCUGCCUUUUUCUGAUAACUCUGCUUGUCAUUACAGUUCAGUUCUUAGAGGAGUUGAUAUGAGUUACGUGCCACAGCCAGUGCACCGCGUCCAUGUUCAGUCCUCCCUUGUUACUGGAUUCUUCCCAGUGGUUUCAAUUGCAGUACAUGAAGGUGAAAAAGAAAGACUAUAGCUUGUGUUUUCCCAUCUUGCUUCACAUUCUUUGCCCUGUUCUUUUCAUCUUGUGGUCAAAUUUUCUGUUAAGAGCUCCUUUGCAAUAAAAAUGCAACAUUAUGUGAUGUACACGUGAACAAAUCUUUCAUUUCUUGGUUUCUGUAAAUCAACAACCUGAUGCAAUCAGUAUAGCCUAAUUAAAAAUAAUAUUUUUUUAAAGAAUUAAGUAGCUGUACUUGAACAAGAGUUUUUAACUGUCCUAAAACUAUAUUCCUGUUUGUGGAUGUUGUGUUUACUUCUGUGAGGACUGUAUCUGACCCUUCUUUAUACUGUAAGAUGUUGUACUGUAUGAUUGGAAGGAUAUGGAAGUCAUCAGAGUAAUAAAUGACUAAUGUAGUUACUU